GAUGAACGCUGACAGAAUGCUUAACACAUGCAAGUCAACUGUGGCGGACGGGUGAGUAACGCGUAAAGAACUUGCCUCACAGAUAGGGACAACAUUUGGAAACGAAUGCUAAUACCUGAUACUGUGAGAGAGCUUUGCGUCCCAUUAGCUAGUUGGAGAGGUAACGGCUCACCAAGGCGAUGAUGGGUAGCCGGCCUGGGAGGGUGAUCGGCCACAAGGGGACUGAGACACUGCCCUAACUCCUACGGGAGGCAGCAGUGGGGAAUAUUGGACAAUGGACCAGAGUCUUAUACAGCAAUUCUGUGGGAACGAUGAAGUUUUCAGAAUGUAAAGUGCUUUCAGUUGGGAAGCGGUACCAACAGAAGAAGUGACGGCUAAAUACGUGCCAGCAGCCGCGGUAAUAC
RNAcentral lists this ribosomal RNA (404 nucleotides) under uncultured bacterium. RNAcentral's name for it is "partial 16S ribosomal RNA". It matches the Rfam family "Bacterial small subunit ribosomal RNA", at positions 28 to 526 of the family's 1533-position model. The record is from RNAcentral.